UACAGAGGGUGCGAGCGUUAAUCGGAAUUACUGGGCGUAAAGCGUGCGUAGACGGCUAUCUAAGUCGGGUGUGAAAGCCCCGGGCUCAACCUCGGAACUGCCUUUGAUACUGCAAGUCUCGAGUCCGAUAGAGGUGGGUGGAAUUCCUAGUGUAGAGGUGAAAUUCGUAGAUAUUAGGAAGAACACCGGUGGCGAAGGCGGCCCACUGGAUCGGUACUGACGCUGAGGUGCGAAAGCGUGGGGAGCAAACAGG
This 253-nucleotide ribosomal RNA is filed under the name uncultured bacterium. RNAcentral describes it as "partial 16S ribosomal RNA". It matches the Rfam family "Bacterial small subunit ribosomal RNA", at positions 524 to 776 of the family's 1533-position model. The record is from RNAcentral.